RNAcentral lists this unclassified non-coding RNA (222 nucleotides) under Sporobolomyces patagonicus. RNAcentral describes it as "partial internal transcribed spacer region". The stretch from base 1 to 46 matches the Rfam family "Eukaryotic small subunit ribosomal RNA", at positions 1786 to 1831 of the family's 1831-position model. The record is from RNAcentral. Lineage: Eukaryota; Fungi; Basidiomycota; Microbotryomycetes; Sporidiobolales; Sporidiobolaceae.
AAGUCGUAACAAGGUUUCCGUAGGUGAACCUGCGGAAGGAUCAUUAUUGAAAACAAGGGUGUCCAAUUUAACUUGGAACCCAAACUUCUCAAUUCUAACUUUGUGCAUCUGUAUUAUUGGCGAGCAACUUCGGUUGUGAGCCUUCACUUACAAAACACUAGUCUAUGAAUGUAAAAUUUUUAUAACAAAUAAAAACUUUCAACAACGGAUCUCUUGGCUCUC